This 254-nucleotide ribosomal RNA is filed under the name uncultured bacterium. RNAcentral describes it as "partial 16S ribosomal RNA". It matches the Rfam family "Bacterial small subunit ribosomal RNA", at positions 524 to 776 of the family's 1533-position model. The record is from RNAcentral.
UACGGGGGGAGCAAGCGUUGUUCGGAUUUACUGGGCGUAAAGGGCGCGUAGGCGGUCAGCACAAGUCAGUUGUGAAAUCUCCGGGCUUAACUCGGAAAGGUCAACUGAUACUGUGCGACUAGAGUGCAGAAGGGGCAACUGGAAUUCUCGGUGUAGCGGUGAAAUGCGUUGAUAUCAUCAGGAACACCGGUGGCGAAAGCGGCUUACUGGGUCUCUUCUGACGCUGAGGAACGAAAGCUAGGGUAGCGAACGGG